Molecule: ribosomal RNA, 254 nt
Filed under: uncultured bacterium
Lineage: Bacteria
Description: partial 16S ribosomal RNA
Rfam family: Bacterial small subunit ribosomal RNA
Source: RNAcentral
UACGUAGGGUCCAAGCGUUAUCCGGAAUUACUGGGUGUAAAGAGUUGCGUAGGUGGCAUAGUAAGUAGAUAGUGAAAGCGUGUGGCUCAACCAUACAUCCAUUAUCUAAACUGCUAAGCUAGAGAACGAGAGAGGUAGAUGGAAUUCCUGAUGUAGGGGUAAUAUCCGUAGAUAUCAGGAGGAACACCGAUGGCGUAGGCAGUCUACUGGCUCGUUUCUGACACUAAGGCACGAAAGCGUGGGUAGCAAACAGG